GGCGCCAUGGCUUAGUUGGAAAAGAGCCUGUCUAGUAAACAGGAGAUCCUGGGUUCAAAUCCCAAUGGUGCCU
RNAcentral lists this transfer RNA (73 nucleotides) under Petromyzon marinus (sea lamprey). RNAcentral's name for it is "tRNA-Thr (AGT) (tRNA-Thr-AGT-21-1, tRNA-Thr-AGT-21-2)". It matches the Rfam family "tRNA". From Rfam's summary of the family: Transfer RNA (tRNA) molecules are approximately 80 nucleotides in length. Their secondary structure includes four short double-helical elements and three loops (D, anti-codon, and T loops). Lineage: Eukaryota; Metazoa; Chordata; Hyperoartia; Petromyzontiformes; Petromyzontidae. The record is from RNAcentral.